This 22-nucleotide non-coding RNA is filed under the name Arabidopsis thaliana (thale cress). The record is from RNAcentral. Lineage: Eukaryota; Viridiplantae; Streptophyta; Magnoliopsida; Brassicales; Brassicaceae.
CUACUCCCCGGGACCACGUCCA